CAGUGGUGUAGUUUUGUAAAUUUCUUUUGGCCCUUUGAGGCUGUUGUUGCGGAGUCCAGGAUCAGAACUAUGCUGAUCUGGUGGAUUAUCCAGCUGAGUGCUGCUGCAGGAGAGAUCAUUCCCCACAGCACUGGAAGAAAGAUGGGAAGAGGACA
Molecule: long non-coding RNA, 155 nt
Organism: Thalassophryne amazonica
Lineage: Eukaryota; Metazoa; Chordata; Actinopteri; Batrachoidiformes; Batrachoididae
Exons: 3
Source: RefSeq, a predicted model, not a curated record